CGAGGAUGAUUUGACAAACUCUCGAUCGUAUACGGGGUUGUAUGAAACUGGGGUUAUACGACGAAAGAAAAUCGCCCGCGAGGGGAAUGUCGAACGAGGAUAUCAAUUAAGCCUCGAUCCGAUUUCAUCCCGCCUGAAAGACGAAUCCGGCACAAAUGUCGGAUAUUCAAGGGUGCACGAAAGCUCAUUUCUCGAUCCCGACGAUACCCCUGUACGUCGACGUUUCCGGCAUCCGGUUCCGGUUGCGAUUUUUAUACGGAGGGAUAGAACAGAGGUGAACGAUGAUUCCACAGAAUCUGAAAAGUCAGUGGAGCGAAAACGGCGGGCACGCAGAAAGAGGGUUCGUCCCGCGACGGCAGAAGAAAGGGAAGAAAAACAGUUAUUGUGCAUGGAAGAAGGGCUGGAGAGAGAAAGUGAGUGAGGAGAUGAGUCUACGCCGAAACGAUACGUCGUCGCAUCCGCCCGGGUCCGAGAAUCACGGGGUGUCAUUUGUCAACGGGGGCGCACGUGACGCUCGCACGAAAUUUCGCCGGAAAUUCGUCGUUUGCUGAACAGAAGCGGUGACGCGAAUCCGAAGCUUGCGUCGUCGCCAUCUUGGAGUCUUGACAUUUUCUGGGAUAUUUGAGAAAUUUCCGUCGGACAUCGUAUAUUUUUGGAAGGCAUAUUACUGAAAAAAAAGUCUGAUAAUAAUAACAAAUCUAGAUGAUACUGAAACUUUCCCAGAUAAUAAGCAGACGUUAUUAUGUCGUUAUUUUGACUCAAAAUGUCAAAAAUUAUAUUGUUUUAAUGACAAAAUGACGACAAAUGACUUUAUAGUUUUGCAAGGA
Molecule: unclassified non-coding RNA, 827 nt
Organism: Acromyrmex echinatior (Panamanian leafcutter ant)
Lineage: Eukaryota; Metazoa; Arthropoda; Insecta; Hymenoptera; Formicidae
Source: RefSeq, a predicted model, not a curated record